CCUGCGCGGGUGUUACGGCCAGAAUCGUGUCCCCCAAAGUUUCUGUCUUGGAGUCCUAGCCCCCAGGACCCCCAUAAUCAGAGGCUCAUCGUGUGGUGUCCUGGUUGCACGUAGUGUGAAGUGUGCCAUUUAAGCAAGUGCAAUAAACUGAUUUUAGCAAGUAAUA
Molecule: long non-coding RNA, 166 nt
Organism: Myotis lucifugus (little brown bat)
Lineage: Eukaryota; Metazoa; Chordata; Mammalia; Chiroptera; Vespertilionidae
Exons: 2
Source: RefSeq, a predicted model, not a curated record